This 269-nucleotide ribosomal RNA is filed under the name uncultured Planctomycetales bacterium. Its description in RNAcentral is "partial 16S ribosomal RNA". It matches the Rfam family "Bacterial small subunit ribosomal RNA", at positions 565 to 832 of the family's 1533-position model. The record is from RNAcentral. Lineage: Bacteria; Pseudomonadati; Planctomycetota; Planctomycetia; Planctomycetales.
GAGCACGUAGGUGGGUUUGUAAGUCAGAUGUGAAAGCCUUCAGUUCAACGGAAGAAUUGCAUCUGAAACUGCGAGUCUUGAGUGUAGGAGGGGAGAAUGGAACUUCUGGUGGAGCGGUGAAAUGCGUAGAUAUCAGAAGGAACUCCGGCGGCGAAAGCGAUUCUCUGGCCUAAUACUGACACUCAGUGUGCGAAAGCUAGGGGAGCAAACGGGAUUAGAUACCCCGGUAGUCCUAGCCGUAAACGAUGGGCACUAAGUAGAGGGGUUUU